RNAcentral lists this ribosomal RNA (253 nucleotides) under uncultured bacterium. RNAcentral describes it as "partial 16S ribosomal RNA". It matches the Rfam family "Bacterial small subunit ribosomal RNA", at positions 524 to 776 of the family's 1533-position model. The record is from RNAcentral.
UACGUAGGCAGCAAGCGUUAUUCGGAAUUAUUGGGCGUAAAGGGCGCGUAGGCGGCUUGGCAAGUGGAAGGUGAAAUCCCUCGGCUUAACCGAGGAACUGCCCUCCAAACUGCUUCGCUUGAGACCGGGAGAGGUGAGUGGAAUUCCCAGUGUAGCGGUGAAAUGCGUAGAUAUUGGGAGGAACACCAGUGGCGAAGGCGGCUCACUGGACCGGUACUGACGCUGAUGCGCGAAAGCGUGGGGAGCAAACGGG